CCAAAGGCUCUUUUAAGAGCCACCCACAGAGUCCGUAAAAGAGCA
Molecule: regulatory RNA element, 45 nt
Organism: Lepisosteus oculatus (spotted gar)
Lineage: Eukaryota; Metazoa; Chordata; Actinopteri; Semionotiformes; Lepisosteidae
Rfam family: Histone 3' UTR stem-loop
About the family: The mRNAs of metazoan histone genes lack a poly-A tail. 3' end processing occurs at a site between a highly conserved stem-loop (modelled by this family) and a purine rich region around 20 nts downstream (the histone downstream element, or HDE).
Source: Rfam